This 22-nucleotide microRNA is filed under the name Pongo pygmaeus (Bornean orangutan). RNAcentral's name for it is "ppy-miR-615-3p". Its record names the gene ppy-miR-615-3p. The record is from miRBase by way of RNAcentral. Lineage: Eukaryota; Metazoa; Chordata; Mammalia; Primates; Hominidae.
UCCGAGCCUGGGUCUCCGUCUU